AAAGUCAAAAUGAAGCACUGAAACGUUAUUUCACAAAGCAGAACAUCUUCUCAUUUCACUUUGGGAGGUUUUGUCCGAGACACUUACUGUCCUCUGGGUAAUUCCUUGGGGCAAAACCUGAAUCACAGAAUCCCAAGGGUGUAGCCUUUACAACAUAUGAACUUCAUUUUAAGAUCUUCAGAUCUGUGUGUGUUUAAGUGAUGUUAGCCAUGUUUCUUUCUACUAGAAAGUAAUUUACAAGGAGCUACCAUCUGGUGCUAUCUGGGGCGCCACUUGUUUCCGGACUUAAUCUAAGGGAAAUGUGGUGUCUAAGCUACUCUUUUGCAGCAUUGUUUCCUGGCUCUUGGUUCAACAGUGGUAAUACCAAAUGGGUUGUCUUAAGAACCAAGGAGGACUCCUGCUGCUCUGCCCAAUCGCUUCCCUCCAGGCAGCCUGGCAGAACUGCUGGGGGUAUUCAGAAGCUCUUGGUUUAGAUUUUAGUUUCUUAAUGGCAGUGUAGGGUUUGGGGGUGGGCGAUGCAAAGGUGGGAGGCUCCAGCCCUCACAUUUGGAUAUUCUUGUUAUGUAUAUAACAUGCAAACAAUUUCUUUCAAAGCAAACUACUGUCAUUUAGAAGCAAUGGGGCUUUUGCUUGUGUGCAAACAAUUAAGGAGGGGACCCUGUUUCUUUUCAGUCUCAGUGCUUCUAUAUGCCAUAUGCUGCCUCCAACCUUAUGGAGAUUUGAUGAUUUAUUUUCAAGGAGUGGUGUGUUUAAGCGUGCAGGUUAUCAAAGAUAUGUUACAUGUAUGAAAAUAUAUCAUCUUCUAAGCUGCCCUGGUUCUCACUAAUGGGCAGUAAGUAAAUGCACUUUCAGUAGAGCCUGUGGUUUGACAAAAUUAUCCAGUAGAACAAAGAUCAGCUUUCGGCUGGCUUGGGGUUUGAAAACAAACUGCAAAAUGGUGCAUAAAUUGGUACCAUGUGUAGCAUUUCCUGAAUCGGAUACAGCUUAUAAUGGCAACAGCUUUGGUAAGCUAGGAAAUAAGCAGAACUUAGCGUUUGGAUUCUGUCACUUGUUUCUGAUAGCUCUUUUGUAAAUAUUUGAAUAAGCAAGGAUACAAUGGGAUGAGCUUUAAGGUCCCUUCCAACCCAAACCAUUCUGUGAUUCCAUGAUUAUGCUUUCUAGUUAAGCCCAUUUCAUGUAAUGCUCAGCUGCAGAAUAAGCUUCAGCAGUGACCUGGUUUAGAAGACAAACACUUAAAAGUCAAUUCCAGUAAACAUAGUUGUUGUCACCUGCUUCAGUAAGUACAGCUACACGGAGAAUUCCAUCCCAAGCAGUCCUAGAGGCUGAAGGCUGAAUGAGAACAACCAGAGCAGUCUGUGUAAUGCUUACUCUGCUCAGCAGCUUAUGAAACAGGAGUAAACGGGUGACCUGGCAUGAACCGUUCCCUGAGACAGCCUGUAAAAGCUCAUCUCGCUUCAUUACUGCUAACCUCUUUGUAAGUGAAAUGACUGCCUACAACUAAGAACUCUGCAGCAGCACUGCAAACCAAAGAACUAGUUAACCUGAUGCCACCCCUAGUAGAUACUCACUAGGAUUUUAAACAAGCACCUGCCUUAAAAGAAUAAUCAUCAUGUGAUUAAAUUAUUUAUACUUGAAGCCAACUUGCAGAUGCUUUCAUCUGCUAAAAAAUACAUGACCUCUGAGGGCUUCAGAGACUGAAAGUACAGAUUGCAUGUUUGAAGAUGUUUUGCAAAUCUUAAUCACAAUAAAAGAGAUGGUAAUAAACCAGCAUCCUUUUUAUUUCAAAAGACAUCCAGUUGCAAGUUGAAUACUGCUGUUGCCCAGGAGAGUCUCGUAGUCAGGUGCAGAUCAGGUUUUCCUGUGUUUAGAAGCAAAGAGUUGAGGCUCUUUGAAGCUGUAAGUAUCUCUGUUGUAAUGCUUUAGUCACACUGAGCUCAGGAGGCAUAAGGAUUCACAGCAGGUUUUUUGCUGCUGUUCUGAGCCUGGCUCUGGUAGACUUCAAGUGAACAGACACCUACUCCCUUAAUGCAGACCUGCACAUCCAGCUUUUGCCCCCCAAGACUGUGUCCAAGUUUGAAGUGUUUUUUCUUCAGGAGGAAGGAGAUUCUCUUGCAAAGUCCACUGGAGUAUGCAGUUGAUAAGUCAUCUCCUGGUGCUUGUUCCCUACCCUGCUGCUCUGUAUCCAGUUAGUUCCACAAGCCACUGGGAGAUGGGAUAUACAAGCCUAAACAGAUUUUGUUGUACAACAGUUUAACAUCAAAGGUGAUAUAAGAAGAGCUAUAUUUUCCAGGAGAAAUCUACUCUAACAGCUUGUUCACUUGAGUGACCUGAAAAAUUAUGGUCUAAUAAAGAGGGAAAUAAAAUGUGAAACGACCUGGUACAUCUGUCCUCCACCUCCCUCUGACUGCUUUCACAUGUUUCAGUGCAAGACAAAUAUGAAAGCUACAUUCAAAAUUAGGCCAAAUCAAGUAUAAAGACAGUAAACAUCAAUAGAGCUGGGGCAUCUGUUUGCAUCUGCCUUUAGAGUGGUAAGGACAAGUCAAAAAAGUGAGAGGAUUAGCCACAAUUACAGUUCUUCUUAUUUUUAUGUCUUGCUUAAAAAAACAGAAAGAUGCAAAUCUGGCAAUGAAAAAUAUCUAAUAUUCAUAGCUAAAUUAAAAGUCACUAUCCUUUGGACAGAUUAUGUAUUUGGGAAAACACAAAGCAACUACUUCAGACACCUAGCUUAGGUAGAACGUUUCCUGUAGAGAAGAGAGGCGGCUGCCUCCAGAGAGCCUCUCCAGGCUGAAUCAGAUGUACUGAUGGGCAAAUAUUCCAAUGCAAGGUAACAAAGCUGUCAAUAAUGUUAUCAAAAUUACUGCCAGUGGUAAGGCACAGAUAAAAUAAUUCCAUGCUUGGAAGGGCUCUGCCUACAUCACAUCUGUUCUCCAAAAGAAAGGUUUCUAAGGCUUUCAGCACAGCUAUUUGGCCAGUCUGAUUCACUACACUACAGCACCAGAACUCCGAUAGCACAGGUGUGUAUGAGUUCAUACAUACUCCUUCAGCAGUUUGCUGGUUUGUAAAAAUUAAUAUGGAAAAUUGUCCCGAGUACCUCCUUAAGAACUUGUUCUGGGCUGUGUUUAACUUAGUCCAACACACACCAUUAAAACCAUUGCUUACUAGAUACUGGUUAAAUGCAUGUCAACUUGGAAAUGAAGCAUCAAAAGAGGAAUUAAAAAAUAAAAAAGAAUUUCUGUUCCAUUAUUAAUCACACAAGUUUCUGAGAUUUGUUUUUGGUUAGCAAUUUUUACAGAAGGUGUAAAUGCAGGUACAGUGCCCCAACAGGCCUCGAGACCCAACAAAAGAGAAAUGUGAUCAAUAAACAUUGUAAAUGAGAUGAGACACAUGGAGGUCAAGCUUCUGUUACUAUGUGCAAGGGAGCGUUUAAAAAUUAACAGCAAGGAAAAGUAUUAGUACAAGUCUUCAUGUACAAGUUAGCACGAUCUAGAAAACUAGGAGUUUUGUGAUUGCAGAUGUGAUACUUCGGAAAUAUCUGAAAUGCUUUUUGUUAUAGAAAUCUCUGUAACUUACACCAUUGUACAAUAGCGUAUUUAGAAAAAGUGCCAGUCCCUGAGCCAGCAGGUAAGAGCCUAAAAGAUAUUUAUAUCUCUCUAAAAAUAUUUAAAAAUAAAAAUUAAGACAUUAGUUAAGCUUUUAGCCAUAAACGCGUAAGAGCAACUACAGCAAUCAAUCUUGGGAAGAGAAGAGGGAAAAGUAAGUUACAGAGGGAUAAACUUCUUUCAGUUUGCUACUUGAGUUGCUGAAAGGUGCUUACUACCAGUUUUGCAGGUAGAGUUCACCCUGUGUCCCCUGGUUUUCCAAAUGGUUUUCCAGCUGGGCCUAGAAAAGGCAGUGCUUGAACAGGGUUUCCAGAAACAUAUAUAAUACACAGAAUACGGAGUACAGCAACUAUUAGCAGUUAUUUGUGUCUGUGCACAAAUGAGAAGAAAUUUUAAGUGAGGUCCAGAAAUGAAGAAGCAGGACAAAUGAGUCCCUGUGACCAAAACUAGACAAAUGAUAGCCUACAGCUUCUGUUUGUCUCACCUUUGCUUUAGCUAGAGAGGAGAAAAAAGAAAACAAGGCACAGCUAUCUCUGCACACUGCAAAGGAAGACCACUGUUGUGCCAUGGAGUACACUGGUUUAGUGCCAAGCAAGUGAAAUAAAGGACAAUGUGACCACACCAGAACCAAAGGCCUGAUGUUUCAUACCACAAGGAAGUGAUAACUUGCCACGAAAAAAAAAAGGCAUGGAGAAAGGGAAGUCCUGUGAAGUGCCACCAAUUGAUAAUACCUUCUUCGAUGAGCUCUCUGAAAAUCAGUUAGUUUCUGCAGAAGUGGAAAUGCCAGUAUUCCAGAAACCAAUGUCCUUGAGUCAAAAUCAACCUUUCCUUAGAUGCUGAACAGUUUAAAUAUUAACACAUGGGAAAAUUCCAGGUACACAAAUAUGCUGCUUGUUGGAGACCAGAGAAAGCUGCUUGGUGUGUCCAGCUUCUUCAGAGUAUUUCCCCCCCCCCGCCAUCGUGUCCAAGUGUAACUGGCUCAAGUGCAAAUGGCAUCUAGAAUGAAUGCUUCAGGUCUCUGAAACACAAAAUAAAGAUAUUGAGAUGUUAGUGAUACAAGAAUUAAACGACAAAUUUGCCUUAAAGGGGAAAUGAAGGUGGGUUUUCUUUGAAGUAUGCAUAAUAGUAAAGGUAAAGCCAGAAAAUGCUGGCCACAUUUCUCUCAGAGCUUUGAGGAGAUUGUGGACAGAAAAAAAGACUUAUUUUUCAAGUUGCAUUAAGGUGACUGGGUGUUUUUAACAAGAGCAGUAAGUACAAAUGGGGGGACAACAGAUGUAAUGUUCCAAAGCGAUAAAGAACUACCACAUUUAACAAAUAUGGAGCAAAAAGACAAGGUCCCAGACACCACAUUUGGCAAUUUUAUUAGGAAGCUGCCUGUGUGAGAAGCAUGAAGGCAGGAUCACACAGCUGCUGGUUUUGUACAAAUGUAAACUUGUUUUAAAUAUCCUUUGGUCUUGUCUCUACCUGAAGUUACACAAACCAGCUACUGGUUCUCCUUUACUGAGGCACUGCAAGUUUAUUAAACCAAUUUCAGCAGUAGAUACCAAUCAUGUUCAUGUGUGUGAAGAUACCCUAGCUGUGCACAGCUACAUGCGAUACAUGAUAUAGAGCUGUACGAGCUAUUACCAUCUUCUAGGCAGAACUGUGUUUCAUGCUGUCAUGAUGAUCUCAGUUACAUGUGAACAGGUUUCUCACAUAAGACCUAGCUUUCUAACUAGGGAUUCCACAAUUCUAGUUACAAUUAAGCCACAAAGCCCUUGGAGUUGACAGUUUAUGGAAAACAGAAGGAACAAUAGAGGAGAAAUGCCAACACAAAUGCUGUGAAGGCCCUCUUCUUGCCAGAUGGUGCCAGGUAAGCAGUAAGACAUUGCAUAAAACCACUGAUGUUUCCAUAAGACUUAGCCACGUGUGUGUGAAGUUAGGGGAAAGUAGACAAAGUCCACGGAUGGGUGGGAGAAAUUUGCAGGGAGAUACACUUCUCAUGUCUAAAGAGGUAAUGCUCUUUAACAGAAAUGUUCAGAAGUCAGCCUGGCAUAUUAAUGCUGUCUGGAGCCUGGAUUGUAACACACAAAAUAGAUGUCCUGCAACCUCAGUUACAGCUGCAGGGUUCUUCAAAGCACUUUGGUAUUGAGGUGUGCUUUACAGAAAUACAGCAAGAGAUCAAAAAGGGAGCAGAGCUGGCACUGGUACUGGGGAGAAUCAGUAAGGCACCGCAUUAGAGAAUGCGGUAUUAGUAGAGAAACAGCAGAUGAACCGUGGGUGAGCUCAUGCAUCCAGUAUCCUGAUAAGGCAAGGUGUGUCACACCUACCCCCUGCAUUUUGGUUGACUUCUAAGUAUACCAUUAUAUUAAGGCACUAACUGGCUCUGGGUUGGACUGUCAACUCGUGGUCCUCUCCACCCAGCAUACACUAGUAUGAUAAGCAAAAUCUACUUCUCCUCUCUUCCCUCAUUUUUCUUUCACUGUACCAAAAAGAGAUACGCUGGGAUUCCGGUAUUUCACCUUGUCCAUGAUUUGAAUUUCUCGAUGCCUAUUUCAGAUUCUUGUCUCUGCCUCUGUUCCUGCCUAUUGUGCAUGUUUUUUUCCUGUGAAGACAGCUACAAUUCCAAUAACCCUUCAUUCAGUUCUUUUGGCUUUGCCAGUGCAAUUUUGAGGCCUUCUGAAAAGAA
Long non-coding RNA from Pezoporus occidentalis (night parrot), 6267 nucleotides. RefSeq lists it as uncharacterized. The record is from RefSeq and is a predicted model, not a curated record. Lineage: Eukaryota; Metazoa; Chordata; Aves; Psittaciformes; Psittacidae. The transcript is spliced from 3 exons.